GCGGACCUAGCUCAGUGGUAGAGCGCCGAACGAGACGUUCGGAGGUCGCGGGUUCGAUUCCCGUUGUCUGCUCCA
Molecule: transfer RNA, 75 nt
Filed under: Shinella sp.
Lineage: Bacteria; Pseudomonadati; Pseudomonadota; Alphaproteobacteria; Hyphomicrobiales; Rhizobiaceae
Also listed under: 1 other name
Description: tRNA-Ser
Rfam family: tRNA
About the family: Transfer RNA (tRNA) molecules are approximately 80 nucleotides in length.
Source: RNAcentral